RNAcentral lists this ribosomal RNA (468 nucleotides) under uncultured bacterium. RNAcentral's name for it is "partial 16S ribosomal RNA". It matches the Rfam family "Bacterial small subunit ribosomal RNA", at positions 28 to 507 of the family's 1533-position model. The record is from RNAcentral.
GACGAACGCUGGCGGCGUGCUUAACACAUGCAAGUCGAACGGAAAGGCCCUGCUUUUGUGGGGUGCUCGAGUGGCGAACGGGUGAGUAACACGUGAGUAACCUCCCCUUGACUUUGGGAUAACUUCAGGAAACUGGGGCUAAUACCGGAUAUGAGCUCCUGCUGCAUGGUGGGGGUUGGAAAGUUUCGGCGGUUGGGGAUGGACUCGCGGCUUAUCAGCUUGUUGGUGGGGUAGUGGCUUACCAAGGCUUUGACGGGUAGCCGGCCUGAGAGGGUGACCGGCCACAUUGGGACUGAGAUACGGCCCAGACUCCUACGGGAGGCAGCAGUGGGGAAUAUUGCACAAUGGGCGGAAGCCUGAUGCAGCAGCGCCGCGUGCGGGAUGACGGCCUUCGGGUUGUAAACCGCUUUCGCCUGUGACGAAGCGUGAGUGACGGUAAUGGGUAAAGAAGCACCGGCUAACUACGUG